Molecule: ribosomal RNA, 208 nt
Filed under: uncultured bacterium
Lineage: Bacteria
Description: partial 16S ribosomal RNA
Rfam family: Bacterial small subunit ribosomal RNA
Source: RNAcentral
CGCGUAGGCGGCCUUGUAAGUCGCAUGUGAAAGGCCGGGGCUCAACCCCGUGCAUUGCACGCGAUACUGCAUGGCUGGAGAGAGGUAGGGGCGAGCGGAAUUCCCGGUGUAGCGGUGGAAUGCGUAGAUAUCGGGAAGAACACCUGUGGCGAAGGCGGCUCGCUGGACCUUUUCUGACGCUGAAGCGCGAAAGCGUGGGGAGCAAACA